Molecule: RNA transcript, 1719 nt
Organism: Panicum hallii
Lineage: Eukaryota; Viridiplantae; Streptophyta; Magnoliopsida; Poales; Poaceae
Exons: 6
Source: RefSeq, a predicted model, not a curated record
AUCUAGCGGUCCAGCCCAGCCCACUUCUUGUGUCGUCGCCUCCACGGGCAACGACACCACUGAUGAACAGCUUGCUCCACACAGUAAGGCAACCGCAGCUUCAAGCACUCCUGAUCCAAUGUUUGCAUCUGGUAUACAUUCUGAAGGACCCAUUAAGGAACAAGCUGCCCAAGUACCAAUUGCUUACAACAGAAGGAGUACGCGCUCCACAAGGGCUGCUGAUAUUUUGAAAACACAAGCAGCUGAAGCAAAGAAAGCUAAGGAGCCUGAUGCUGCUGUGAAAAAGGAGGAGAAGCAGCUGGAAGCGGCGAGAAUGAAGGCUGAGGCUGACAAGAAGAAGGAGGAAACCAAGAAGCAGAAACAACAAAAAGGAAAGGCAGCCGGCAAGAACAUGAGGGCGAAGCUUCAGCUCACUAAAGAUGACCAAGCGCUGUGCGAUGAACAUGAGAAAUGGUUGAUGCAGCUGCGCGAGCAUGCUAAUGAAGAAAUUUCAAAGCUGAAGAGAAGUGUUCCUUGUGAGCCCCUUGCUGUGCAGUUGUCUUAAGAGGAAUGUGAACGAGGUUCCCAAAACUUCAACGAGUUUCAAAAGACGAUUUUCAAACAUGUUGGAGAGAGGUUGAGGAAGAAGCCAAGGAAGUACAUAUUUCCAUUCAAAAUCCCAGGUUGCCCCGCGAAAGUACGCUUGGCAAAGGCACUUGCUACGAGGAACAAGAUCGCCUCUGAUGAGAAGUUGAAAGCAUAAGCACACACACAUCGCUAUUGGCAGAUAUCAUUGUUGCAACUAGUUUUCUCAACCCCUAUACAGUUGGUAACAUAUUUGUUUUUUUUCCUACUCACAGCUCGAUUCUGGUUGAUUUUAGCAUCUUCUGUGCUUUUGACGGCCAUGACCUCCUGACCACUUUUGCUGAUGAUAAAGACGGCAUCUCUUCUAUAAUGGAUUUCACUAUCCAUUGCCUUCGUUAUGAUGACAUUGUUCACAAGGAAGAUUCGAUGAGAUACAGGGUAUUCCUCACCACUGGGUUCUUUGUUCAGGCAAAGAAUGUUGAGAAGGUCUACAUGGAUGAUGGAAAAACCAAGACUGAAGAAUUCAAAAUCCUGAGACAGUGCUUGGAGUCUGAAAUCGAGCAUUAUUCGGAUAUAACAAAAGCAAAGUUGAUAUUCAUGCCUGUAUGUGUUGGGAAGCACUAUUUUGUUUACUGUAUCAACCUCAUCCACAAUCGCAUCGAUAUCUUGGAUUCGAUUGACUAUUUUUGGGCGGGCACUUCUCCUAAACCACAUCACCAGUCCAUCUAUGACAAGCUGCCCAUCAUAAACGCUGCAUUCCAGAAGGUUACCAAGGACAAAUUCUCUCAAUUUGACAACUGGAGCAGGCCGUUCAUUGAUGUGCCAAAGCAAGCUGGGCCCAAUGAUCGCAUGUUUUUCCUUUGGAAAUAUAUGGAAUUCUAGGAUGUUCAAAGGGAUGAUAUACAGGAUUGAGAUGAUGCACUAUUUGGUGUUCCACCCCUUGAACUAACUUGACAUACCCGAUGAACGUGACGUCUAUAGGCUUGGUGGGAGAAAGAUUGAAUGGAAUGAAUCGCAAUGAGGAUUUUUGGAACGGUUUGUUGUAGCAACUGUUGUAACUUAUGUAGCAACUUUUGUACAAAACUUAUCUAAAUUGUCUGCAGUAGCAACUAAUGUACCUUAAUUUUUGCAAAUGGUGAACAUGCAAAUUGCAAA